This 477-nucleotide ribosomal RNA is filed under the name uncultured bacterium. RNAcentral describes it as "partial 16S ribosomal RNA". It matches the Rfam family "Bacterial small subunit ribosomal RNA", at positions 30 to 507 of the family's 1533-position model. The record is from RNAcentral.
AUUGAACGCUGGCGGCAUGCCUCACACAUGCAAGUCGAACGGUAACAGGUUAAGCUGACGAGUGGCGAACGGGUGAGUAAUACAUCGGAACGUGCCCAGUAGUGGGGGAUAGCCCGGCGAAAGCCGGAUUAAUACCGCAUACGACCUAAGGGUGAAAGGGGGGGAUCGCAAGACCUCUCGCUAUUGGAGCGGCCGAUGUCAGAUUAGCUAGUUGGUGGGGUAAAAGCUCACCAAGGCGACGAUCUGUAGCUGGUCUGAGAGGGCGACCAGCCACACUGGGACUGAGACACGGCCCAGACUCCUACGGGGGGCAGCAGUGGGGAAUUUUGGACAAUGGGCGCAAGCCUGAUCCAGCCAUGCCGCGUGCGGGAAGAAGGCCUUCGGGUUGUAAACCGCUUUUGUCAGGGAAGAAAUCCUUUGGGUUAAUACCUCGGGGGGAUGACGGUACCUGAAGAAUAAGCACCGGCUAACUACGUG